This 409-nucleotide ribosomal RNA is filed under the name uncultured bacterium. RNAcentral describes it as "bacterial SSU rRNA". It matches the Rfam family "Bacterial small subunit ribosomal RNA", at positions 509 to 916 of the family's 1533-position model. The record is from RNAcentral.
CAGCAGCCGCGGUAAUACGUAGGGUGCGAGCGUUGCCCGGAUUUAUUGGGCGUAAAGGGCGCGUAGGCGGUCACGCACGUCCGUUGUGAAAUCGCUCGGCUCAACUGGGCGGGGUCAGCGGAUACGGCGUGGCUGGAGCAAGCUAGGGGGCGAUGGAAUUCCCGGUGUAGUGGUGGAAUGCGUAGAUAUCGGGAGGAACACCAGUGGCGAAGGCGGUUGCCUGGAGCUUUGCUGACGCUGAUGCGCGAAAGCGUGGGGAGCGAUCCGGAUUAGAUACCCGGGUAGUCCACGCCGUAAACGAUGCGGACUAGGUGUCGGGGGUAUCGACCCCCUCGGCGCCGCAGCUAACGCAUUAAGUCCGCCGCCUGGGGACUACGGCCGCAAGGCUAAAACUCAAAGGAAUUGACGG